AACGCUGGCGGCGCGCUUAACACAUGCAAGUCGAACGAGAAAGGGAGCAAUCCUGAGUAAAGUGGCGUACUGGUGAGUAACACGUGGAUAUCUACCUCUUGGUGGGGAAUAACCUGGGGAAACCUGGGCUAAUACCGCAUAAGUUCGUGAGAAGAAAGGCGCAAGUCGCCGAGAGAGGAGUCCGCGGUCGAUUAGGUAGUUGGCGGGGUAAGAGCCCACCAAGCCAAAGAUCGAUAGCCGGCCUGAGAGGGCACACGGCCACACUGGCACUGAAACACGGGCCAGACUCCUACGGGAGGCAGCAGUGGGGAAUCUUGCACAAUGGGGGAAACCCUGAUGCAGCGACGCCGCGUGAGCGAUGAAGCCCUUCGGGGUGUAAAGCUCUUUCGGCAGGAACGAUAAUGACGGUACCUGCAGAAGAACG
RNAcentral lists this ribosomal RNA (424 nucleotides) under Acidobacteria bacterium UCL-107. RNAcentral describes it as "bacterial SSU rRNA". It matches the Rfam family "Bacterial small subunit ribosomal RNA", at positions 32 to 491 of the family's 1533-position model. The record is from RNAcentral. Lineage: Bacteria; Pseudomonadati; Acidobacteriota.